GCACGAAUGUCGCCACAUGUUUGACAUUACAUAUCUAAUAUUCGUCUUCUUUUUUUUUUUUCUUCCUCGGUUCUCUGCGAGGAAGCCAUUCCGUUAGCGUCAGUACCAAAGAAAGUGCGGAUGAAGAAGCCGGCGAAGUCCCGGUCCCAACGAGGAUGACGGGGACAAUGCCGGACAAGGAGAUAACCUUCAUCAAGGCACCGGUGAGGUGAAAGUAGAAACGAGCAAUCAACGACAGAGUCUCACGCACCGGAUCUCAUCGCUCUAUGAGACGCUCAUUAG
Molecule: long non-coding RNA, 282 nt
Organism: Daphnia magna
Lineage: Eukaryota; Metazoa; Arthropoda; Branchiopoda; Diplostraca; Daphniidae
Exons: 2
Source: RefSeq, a predicted model, not a curated record